AGACUAUGGCCAUAAUGGUCAUUAUUGUCAGGCAGUAAUCCUAGUUGACUUGAAGUGGCAAAAUCUUAUUUUAUUUAUUGAUUUUUCGUUCAUCCGUUAUUUUUGUAAUGACUAUUAUGGUCAGACAGUAAUACUUGUUGGAACUUGAGUUUCAUUCAAUUUCUUGAUCAUGAUGCACCAUGACUGCACCACUUGACUUCAAUGCUCUUUUGCACCAAAAAUCUUCACUUAUUCCUUCACUUCUCCUUGCAAUCAAAACAAAACAAAAAGGUAUUAAAAUUGAACUAAAAUCAAAUUAACCUAUCAAAUAAAGCUAUAAAAAUAGAUAAUUUCUAGCUUAUUAGAUGAGAUGACUUUUAAUCUUAG
This 366-nucleotide long non-coding RNA is filed under the name Cicer arietinum (chickpea). RNAcentral describes it as "long non-coding RNA (CARI_LNC002342)". Lineage: Eukaryota; Viridiplantae; Streptophyta; Magnoliopsida; Fabales; Fabaceae. The record is from RNAcentral.